Molecule: ribosomal RNA, 460 nt
Filed under: uncultured bacterium
Lineage: Bacteria
Description: SSU rRNA
Rfam family: Bacterial small subunit ribosomal RNA
Source: RNAcentral
AGAAUCAACGCUGGCGGCGUGCCCAACACAUGCAAGUCGAACGAGAAAGUGGAGCAAUCCAUGAGUAAAGUGGCGCACGGGUGAGUAACACGUGACUAACCUACCCUUGAGUGGGGGAUAACCUAGGGAAACCUGGGCUAAUACCGCAUAAUACCUUCGGGUCAAAGGAGCAAUUCGCUUAAGGAGGGGGUCGCGGCCGAUUAGUUAGUUGGCGGGGUAAUGGCCCACCAAGACUGUGAUCGGUAUCCGGCCUGAGAGGGCGCACGGACACACUGGAACUGAAACACGGUCCAGACUCCUACGGGAGGCAGCAGUGGGGAAUUUUGCGCAAUGGGGGAAACCCUGACGCAGCAACGCCGCGUGGAGGAUGAAGUCCCUUGGGACGUAAACUCCUUUCGAUCGGGACGAUUAUGACGGUACCGGAAGAAGAAGCCCCGGCUAACUUCGCGCCAGCAGCCGC